Molecule: transfer RNA, 73 nt
Filed under: Asanoa iriomotensis
Lineage: Bacteria; Bacillati; Actinomycetota; Actinomycetes; Micromonosporales; Micromonosporaceae
Description: tRNA-Val
Source: RNAcentral
GUACGCAACGGGCUGUGGCUCAGCCCUGCUUUCACACAGCAGAGGCCCCAGGUUCGAACCCUGGUGCGGGCAC